AGAUACUACCAGAUCUGACCUAGUACAACCCGAAGACAGAAGACUAUCAAAAGAAGUCAGAUACUGCUAGCUGGAUGCAGAUACCUUCUAUUUGUUGUCCUUGUAUUCUGUGUUGAACACGUACUGCCUCUACCUGCAUUCAGUGUCAUGAGUUUGGAUGGCUCUGUCUCAAAUCCAGUUGCCUUACUGAGAUCAACAUGGUACCGGGCCUUUGAGAACAAGGCAGGGCUCUUGACAUAUACAAUGUGUGACACUGACAUUUAACGUAUUGUCUACAACAAAAGCAGAAUUAUUGAUUUAAGAAGUGGUUAUUAUCUAAUUGGGACCAACAACUGGUGUGUAACUAUGAU
This is a long non-coding RNA of Nothoprocta perdicaria, 350 nucleotides long. RefSeq lists it as uncharacterized. The transcript is spliced from 3 exons. The record is from RefSeq and is a predicted model, not a curated record. NCBI's taxonomy places the organism in Eukaryota, Metazoa, Chordata, Aves, Tinamiformes, Tinamidae.